UGUGGUGGGACUCUCCGGUGCGGCAGCUCCUCCGGCUCAAGUUGCGGUUGGGUGUUUUGUUCUGGUCGACCUGUAGAGGAGGAAACGGUGAUCACAACGGUGGAAAAAUCACAUCGAACGGGAAUCAGGAAGGGCCUCAUCGGAGGCGAAAAUCGAAACACCCCACGACGGCGCUGCUGAGCUUUGGCGGCAUUUUUCGGCCAAAUGGCUGGUAUUUUCACUCCAAUUUGGCCAUGGGUGGUUUGGAAUCAAAUUCUGAGC
RNAcentral lists this long non-coding RNA (261 nucleotides) under Carica papaya (papaya). RNAcentral's name for it is "long non-coding RNA (CPAP_LNC012529)". The record is from RNAcentral. Lineage: Eukaryota; Viridiplantae; Streptophyta; Magnoliopsida; Brassicales; Caricaceae.